Molecule: long non-coding RNA, 1541 nt
Filed under: Capsicum annuum
Lineage: Eukaryota; Viridiplantae; Streptophyta; Magnoliopsida; Solanales; Solanaceae
Description: long non-coding RNA (CANN_LNC010135)
Source: RNAcentral
CCCCCCCCCCCCAAUGUUUACAAGGAGGAUAUUUUUCUUUUUUUUGUUACCGGUGGCAGUAGCAUUUUUUUGCAGAUGUAGCUUCGUAGUUUCCAUAAUUUCUUCUCUUUUUUUUUCCUUUAUGCUCUAUGGCAGCACUUGAACAAAGUAGAAACUUUUCUUGUAGGGCUACCUCGAUGGAUCCCUCUUGCCUCAUCAUCCUUCAUUGUUCUUGUGCCUACAGAGCACUGAAUAACUCUGCCAAGCUAAGCUUUGAUAGAUCUUUAGUAUUGUCCAAUGAAGCAAUAGUUACGUUAUUUCUCUCAGGUAAGGUUACAAGCAUCUUUUGAACUAUUCUAUUGUCAUUAAAUUCAGUUCUAAGUAUUCUUACCUUAUUUGAAAUCACAAGCAACCUGUUAGAAUAAUCCUUAAUGAUUUUAGAUUUCUUCAUUCGUUGUUGUCAUGCCCCAAGACGAUAAUGAUGGACAAGAACCAUAUACACUUAAUCUACAAUCACUUUAAGACAUACACAAGGUUAUGAGAUAAUAACGGGCAAAAUAUUCAAUAAGAGUUGCAUAUAUACACGAGGGAGUUACAUUAACAAAACUAUACAAUACAAUCUUACACGAUGUCCAUGAAGCCUCGAGUCAGUUUAACACGCUAUAAUACAAGUGACUAGUCAGUAUAGGGCCCUUCAUGCGCAACUAAGAACCCGUACAUGUAAUAAAAAAUACUAUACAUAGGCCAGCUCCAAAAAGAGAAGGAGCUCACCAAAAUACCAGCUGAAAACGACAACAGGGCCUAAUGUGGACGUCUUCUAUCCUGAGGGCCUAAGCCUGCAUCAAUAAAAUAUAGUGCCCCUAGAAUGUCAGUACAUAAAAUAACAUGUACUAGUAUGAAAGUAGACAGAAUAACAGUUGAACAAGUACAAAAUCUCAUACGAGUCAAACAUUAAAGUGAAAAUUAAGAGCCAAUAAUAACACAUAUAAGAUAUGAACUGGUAACCUAUGCACCAAUCUUACAGGAAUUUUUGUGUAAUGUUUAGAAAGGUGUUCAUAAUAAUAUAGCGACUAUAAUUUAUCUAGGUGAUGUAAGCAUCCUAUAAGUAAUACAAAUAAUCACAAAAUGGCCUACCUAAGGCAAUCUGAGGCAAGUAUAAAGCAUAUGCUACUCAAAUAAUUAUUGCUAUGAUCCCAUAUGUAUAAUUGUAAUCACAGUCUGUAACUAGGUAUGCUCCACCCAGGGGCUCACUAUGAGGGCCUGCCCGCAGGCCAUAUAUGCCAUAUAUUGGCUCGAGUCAGGGGAAACUAGUACAUGACAUUCCAGCUGACUCCAAAUACAAAUGAUUCCACAAAAAUGGGUACGCCCCAGUAUAUGGGCUCACUAUAAUGGUAUGGUCUCGAUCUUGUGCACAGAAUCACGUCGAGCAGUAUGCCAAGCCAAACCUAUGUACCCUCCCAUCGCAAUGCUUAUCAAUUAAUGCCUUGAAGGCCUAUAACAUGUGAAUUAAGAUAAUGGUUGUCUACCUAAUAUAUACAAGUACAACUAUGCUAUUACUAUUU